UACGAAGGGGGCUAGCGUUGUUCGGAAUUACUGGGCGUAAAGCGCGUGUAGGCGGGUCUUUAAGUCAGGGGUGAAAUCCCGGAGCUCAACUCCGGAACUGCCUUUGAUACUGGCAAGCUAGAGUCCGGAAGAGGUAAGUGGAACUCCUAGUGUAGAGGUGGAAUUCGUAGAUAUUAGGAAGAACACCAGUGGCGAAAGGCGGCUCACUGGUCCGGGUACUACGCU
This 225-nucleotide ribosomal RNA is filed under the name uncultured bacterium. RNAcentral's name for it is "partial 16S ribosomal RNA". It matches the Rfam family "Bacterial small subunit ribosomal RNA", at positions 524 to 747 of the family's 1533-position model. The record is from RNAcentral.